AUGUGGAUCCAGGUUCCCAUCACGGCUCCAAGACGUGCACCACAGAGGACGUGUCUCACAAAGCCACGAUUGAGGAGCUGCGGAGCAGAUGUGGGUGCUGUUCGACGUGCGGCCCGAGUGCCAGCACCUCUUCUACCGGGGCAAGCAGUUUGAAAAUGGAUAUGCCUUAUUUGACUAGGAUGUUGGACUGAAUGAUAUAAUUCAGCUGCUAGUUUGCCCAGACCCUAAUCAUCUUCCUGGAACAUCUACACAGAUUGAGGCUAAACCCUGUUCUGAUAGUCCACCUAAAGCAAAGAAAGCUCCAAGGGUGGGACCUUCCAGUCAGCCACCUACAUCAGCUCGUGCCCAUCUUACUGAUCCUAGCUUUGGACUAUAUAAGGUAAAUGAAUUGGUGGAUGCCAGAGAUGUUGGCCUUGGUGCUUGGUUUCAAGCACACAUACCUAGUGUUGCUAGAGCUUCUGAUGGACAGUCACGUGGCAAAACUCCACUGAAGAAUGGCAGUUCUUGUAAAAGGACUAAUGGAAAUAUACAUCAUAAAUCAAAGAGAACAUAAAUAAAUUGGACAAUGUACUCUCUACAUCUAAUUCAGACUCUGUCGCUGCCGAUGAAGACGUUAUUUACCAUAUCCAGUAUGAUGAAUACCCAGAAAGUGGUACUCUAGAAAUGAAUGGCAAGAACCUUAGACCAUGAGCUAGAACCAUUUUGAAAUGAAAGGAACUAAAUGUUGGUGAUGUGGUAAUGGUUAAUUAUAAUGUAGAAAGUCCUAGACAAAGAGGAUUCUGUUUGAUGCAGAAAUUACCACAUUGAAGGCAAUCUCCAGGACCAAAAAUGAACUUCGUGUGAAAAUUUUCCUGGGUGUGGGGGGGUUCUGAAGGGGCAUUAAAUGAGUGCAAAAUAAUAUCUGUAGAUGAAAUCUUCAAGACUGAGAAACCUGGAGCCUAUCCUCUUUCGUUUGCAGAUGUAAAGUUUUUAAGGAGAAAUAACUCUGAAUAUGACCUGUGUGGUGGAGACCCAGAUAAGAAAUGCCAUUCUUGCUUCUUUCAUGUAUAUGGUGGGAAACAUGAACCCAACAUGCAGCUUCUAUGUGAUGAAUGUAAUGCGGCUUAUCAUAUUUACUGCUUGAAUACACCUUUGGAUAAAGUCCCAGAAGAGGAAUACUGGUAUUGUUCUUCCUGUAAAACUGAUUCCAGUUAAGUUGUAAAGGCUGGUGAAAGACUCGAGAUGAGUGAAAAGAAAGCAAAGAUGCCAUCCGCUAGUACUGAAAGCCAGAGAGACUGGUGCAGGAGAAUGGCUUGUGUUGGUCAUAUGACAGAAUGCACUAUUGUCUCUUCUAAUCAUUAUGGACCUAUUCCUGUUGGAUCAACUUGGAGAUUUAGAGUUCAGGUGAGUGAAGUAGGUGUUCACAGACCCCAUGUUGGUGGACUUCAUGGUCGAAGUAAUGAUGGAGUUUAUUCUCUUGUCUUGGUUGGUGGAUUUGUGGAUAAAGUUGACCGAGGUGAUGAGUUCUUGUACACUGGAAGUGGUGGUAAAAAGCUUGCUGGUAAUAAAAGAAUUGGCACACCUUCAGCUGAUCAAACAUUAACAAACACAAACAGGGCAUUGGCCCUAAACUGUGAUGCUACAUUGGGUGAUAAAAUUGGAGCAGAGUCUUGGAAUUGGAGAGCUGGUAAGCCAGUCAGAGUGAUAUGCAGUUUUAAAGGGAGGAAGAUCAGCAAAUAUGCUCCUGAAGAAGGCAACAGAUAUGAUGGCAUUUAUAAGGUAGUGAAAUACUGGCCAGAGAUUUCAUCAAGCCAUGGACUCUUGAUUUGGCGCUAUCUUUUAAGAAGAGAUGAUGUUGAACCUGCUCCUUGGACCUCUGAAGGAAUAGAAUGGUCAAGGAGAUUAUGUCUACAUUUACAGUAUCCAGCAGGUUACCCUUCAGAUAAAGAAAGGAAGAAGACUAAAGGACAGUCAAAGAAGCAGGCCAGUGGAACCACAAAAAGGCCGAUUUCAAAUGUCUAAGUGCCUCCAAAGUAUACAAAGCAUCAGAUUCAGCAGGAGCAAUUGAGGCUUUUCAACUAACUCCUCAACAGCAACAUCUCAUCAGAGAAGACUGUCAAAACCAGAAGCUGUGGGAUGAAGUGCUUGCAUAUCUUGUGGAAGGACCAAAUUUUCUGAAAAAAUUGGAACAAUCUUUUAUGUGUGUUUGCUGCCAGAAGCUAGUUUACCAGCCUGUGACAACUGAGUGCUUCCAGAAUGUCUGUAAAAAUUGCCAACAGUGCUCCUUUAAGGCAUAGGUUUUCUCCUGCCCUGCUUGCUGGCAUGAUCUUGGCCAGAAUUAUGUCAUAAUUCCCCAUGAGAUUCUGCAGACUCUACUAGACCUUUUCUUCCCUGGCUACAGCAAAGGA
This 2387-nucleotide long non-coding RNA is filed under the name Homo sapiens (human). RNAcentral describes it as "non-protein coding lnc-ZCCHC13-14:1". Lineage: Eukaryota; Metazoa; Chordata; Mammalia; Primates; Hominidae. The record is from RNAcentral.